ACUCCUACGGGAGGCAGCAGUGGGGAAUAUUGCACAAUGGGCGCAAGCCUGAUGCAGCCAUGCCGCGUGUGUGAAGAAGGCCUUCGGGUUGUAAAGCACUUUCAGUCGUGAGGAAGGUAGUGUAGUUAAUAGCUGCAUUAUUUGACGUUAGCGACAGAAGAAGCACCGGCUAACUCCGUGCCAGCAGCCGCGGUAAUACGGAGGGUGCGAGCGUUAAUCGGAAUUACUGGGCGUAAAGCGCAUGCAGGUGGUUUGUUAAGUCAGAUGUGAAAGCCCGGGGCUCAACCUCGGAAUAGCAUUUGAAACUGGCAGACUAGAGUACUGUAGAGGGGGGUAGAAUUUCAGGUGUAGCGGUGAAAUGCGUAGAGAUCUG
This 373-nucleotide ribosomal RNA is filed under the name uncultured bacterium. RNAcentral describes it as "bacterial SSU rRNA". It matches the Rfam family "Bacterial small subunit ribosomal RNA", at positions 335 to 700 of the family's 1533-position model. The record is from RNAcentral.